GAUGAACGCUGGCGGCGUGCUUAACACAUGCAAGUCGAACGGAAAGGCCCAAGCUUGCUUGGGUACUCGAGUGGCGAACGGGUGAGUAACACGUGGGUGAUCUGCCCUGCACUUCGGGAUAAGCCUGGGAAACUGGGUCUAAUACCGGAUAGGACCACUUCUUGGAUGUUGUGGUGGAAAGUUUUUUCGGUGUGGGAUGAGCUGGCGGCCUAUCAGCUUGUUGGUGGGGUAAUGGCCUACCAAGGCGUCGACGGGUAGCCGGCCUGGGAGGGUGUACGGCCACAUUGGGACUGAGAUACGGCCCAGACUCCUACGGGGGGCAGCAGGGGGGAAUAUUGCACAAUGGGCGCAAGCCUGAUGCAGCGACGCCGCGUGGGGGAUGACGGCCUUCGGGUUGGAAGCUCCUUUCGCUAGGGACGAAGCGUUUUGUGACGGUACCUGGAGAAGAAGCACCGGCUAACUACGUG
This 467-nucleotide ribosomal RNA is filed under the name uncultured bacterium. RNAcentral's name for it is "partial 16S ribosomal RNA". It matches the Rfam family "Bacterial small subunit ribosomal RNA", at positions 28 to 507 of the family's 1533-position model. The record is from RNAcentral.